UACGGAGGGAGCUAGCGUUGUUCGGAUAUACUGGGCGUAAAGCGCACGUAGGCGGCGCCGUAAGUCAGGGGUGAAAUCCCGGAGCUCAACUCCGGAACUGCCCUUGAAACUGCAGUGCUAGAAUCUUGGAGAGGCGAGUGGAAUUCCGAGUGUAGAGGUGAAAUUCGUAGAUAUUCGGAAGAACACCAGUGGCGAAGGCGACUUACUGGACACAUAUUGACGCUGAGGUGCGAAAGCGUGGGGAGCAAACAGG
RNAcentral lists this ribosomal RNA (253 nucleotides) under uncultured bacterium. Its description in RNAcentral is "partial 16S ribosomal RNA". It matches the Rfam family "Bacterial small subunit ribosomal RNA", at positions 524 to 776 of the family's 1533-position model. The record is from RNAcentral.